RNAcentral lists this long non-coding RNA (1160 nucleotides) under Marmota monax (woodchuck). Lineage: Eukaryota; Metazoa; Chordata; Mammalia; Rodentia; Sciuridae. The record is from RNAcentral.
CCCAGAAUUAAUGCCUUGUCAGCUGUCUGCAUAUCCCUAAAUCCAGUCAAACUGACACUGAAAAUUAACCAUCAUGUCCUCAGGUUGUGAUUUGAGUUUGUGUCAUCUUCCUGUUGGCACCAUGACUGCUACAGUAGUGGGUACCAGAAACUGCUCCUUAAAAUUGUAUUUGAAGAGGACAAGGUUGAAAGGUCAUUUUUGGGAUCAGGGCAAUGAGAUAGUAGUAAAUUAUGGUAUAUGGUGGUACCACAACUAAAACUGUCACUGUGUAUUAGUGUGGAAUGAAGUGCAAUUGGAGUAGAAGACCUCGAUGGACCAAAUGGUUAUGGUACAUCGUCAUUAUUGGGAGUUCUAACUCUAAUUAUAAAGAUUUUGUGGGGCUAGAGAUGUGGCUCAAGCGGUAAUGCACUUGCCUGGCAUGCGCGGGGCGCUGGGUUCGAUCCUCAGCACCACAUAAAAUAAAGAUGUUGUGACCACUGGAAAAAAAAAAUAUUAAAAAAAAAAAAAAGAUUUUGUGGAUACCUCACAACAGCUCUGGAGAAAGGUAUGUAGGAAAAGGAAAACAAGUAACCAACCAACCAAAAACCUAUGAACAUAGAAGUAGGAAAUUCAGUGCUAGAGAGCCUCCAUGGCAUCUUUGAAUUGAUUUCUUAUCUGUGCUCACAGGGCAGUUCUGGGACAAACUCAGGUUUGGUUGCAAGGGUUGCGGAGUCGCAGCUCCAGUUAGUGUUAGUCCCUGAGAGACCAGGUCUCUCAAGUUACAGUAAGGGCAAUGGUGGGAAAGGAGAUGGGGAUAUUUGGACUGAGAAGUUUAAACCUCAGAACUUCUCCAGAUCCUUAUUGUUUACAGAGGCAGGCCCCUAUAAGAAGAAUUAGAUCUCAACAAUUCCUGUUAAAGUUAUGGGUUCUUCUCCAGGAGGAUUGCCUAUUCUGAAGGAAUUUUAAGACCUCUGCAAAUUUAUUUUUGAAGAACCUUGAGAGUUUGUGGGAGUAGCUCCUAGACCAGGGGAUGUCCUAAGUGGCCUUACAUAAAAUGGCCAGUUAAAGGAUGUUUGCUUUCCAUUAUACUGACCUUGUACUUAAUUUCCCCUCGUUUUAUUUGGAAAAAAUUGGUAUCUAUAGGAAGGUUGAAUGAAUAAUACAAGGAACACUCAUUAUUC